Molecule: ribosomal RNA, 253 nt
Filed under: uncultured bacterium
Lineage: Bacteria
Description: partial 16S ribosomal RNA
Rfam family: Bacterial small subunit ribosomal RNA
Source: RNAcentral
UACGUAGGUGGCAAGCGUUGUCCGGAUUUAUUGGGCGUAAAGAGCUCGUAGGCGGUUUGUCGCGUCUGCUGUGAAAACCUAAGGCUCAACCUUGGGCUUGCAGUGGGUACGGGCAGACUAGAGUGCGGUAGGGGUGACUGGAAUUCCUGGUGUAGCGGUGGAAUGCGCAGAUAUCAGGAGGAACACCGAUGGCGAAGGCAGGUCACUGGGCCGCAACUGACGCUGAGGAGCGAAAGCAUGGGGAGCGAACAGG